Molecule: long non-coding RNA, 4106 nt
Organism: Mus musculus (house mouse)
Lineage: Eukaryota; Metazoa; Chordata; Mammalia; Rodentia; Muridae
Product: predicted gene, 52771
Exons: 2
Source: RefSeq, a predicted model, not a curated record
GGCUGCAUUGCUGGAGAGAAAUAGUCUGUUCCUUGGACUGACAAGGUCUGUGGGGGGACCUAAGAUCUCGCGAAGGUUCAGUCCUUGGCAUUUUACAGGGAGACUGAAGGCCAGCAUGUGCACAGGGUAGGUCUGAGCCUAGACAACUCAACAUGACCCUUACAGCCUUCCUGACUGAUUCCUGGGUGCUGGAGCUGCACCUGUUUCUUUUGACCUUCACAGCAAGCUGACGAGCUCAGCACAGUGGCGGACUGCACAGUGGAGCCUGUGAGCUGCCUACAACACAGCUCUCAUCAGCUCCUGCCCUGCUCUGCCCUGCCAGCCUCUCACCAGCAGCCCUGGCUUACCUGGAUCUGCUGCUGGGCCUGGAGCUGCUGCCGGAAGGCAUUCAUACCAGCUGUGAAGCACAGAAGCUGUGUGGCACCCUCCUGUAGGAGCUGCUGCUGCUGGUAGGCUUGCAUAGCCCGUUCCAUUCAUGCGGCCUUCCUCCUCCUCUCAAGUAUGAAGCCCAGCCAUGCAGUCCACACCUUGCAGAAGAGAGGACAAGAGAUAAGACUCAGGCUUCCAUGAUGGAUCCCACGACCCAGCCUACAGAGCAGCCCCUGAAGGCAGGAGUGCCCAGGGAAUUAGAACCAUUACCUUUGCUUGUAGUGAGAAGGCCCAGAGCCACAGGGCCCGGCUGUGCCCCACUGUUCUUGCUUCCGGACUGCCAGCUGUGGGCCCGAAAGAUUGGGUUACUCAGAGGAAUACACAGGCAACAUGGCAAUGGCCACUCUCAGCCCACCAGCUCAAGCAUCUACCCUCCUUCUACUGGGAAGGGUUCAGGACCUGGCCUCCUCCUGAUCUUGAGAUAGUUAAUAUAUUCAGGGACUGUGAAGAGGAAAAGGACAGUACAAAAGGAAGAACGCACAGACACCUCUGACUGGACAGUGAAUGGACAGAGCAAUGCUGGGGAACUGGGAGCAGAGCCGAAAGGGAAGGCUCUCCAGCCUAGAGCAAGAACAGACUGUAAACUUGGCUGUGCUGAGCAGACUGUGGCCUUCUGGUUUUUUAUCAAGACCCCAACAAAGACUUGAAAUUCACUUCACAUUAAUUUUUGGGUAUUAUUCCAGUGUGUUUAAGAUGACACUUUAAGAGAAACCUGAAUCGAAGAGACUAGCCUUCUACAAAUGGCAUAUGAAGGAAGCUGAUAGUGCGGGGGUGGGGGUGAGGCACACACAGGGAUGGAGCCCUGGGACAAAGACAGUGUUAAAGACUGAACUAGAUGUGGGGCUGAGAUGGCUCUAAGCUGAAAUCUUGCCAGUAGGCAAGAAGUGCUACACUGGUUCUCACCUGCUUCCUCUGCCAGAAGCAGGCCCGACCGAGUCUCUGUGCCAGGAGUUGGGCAGCUUGUCUCUGCAGAAACUAGAGAGCAAAUGCACACGGAGUCAGACUCCACAGUCACCUAACUCAGGGUCUAUCCCCAGCCCCUGGGCCAGCUGCAAGGGGAGACUCCACCCAAGUGAACACCUUUCUGCCAAUGGCUCCUGCCCCCAUAGUUUCCCCAGAUCUAAAGUCAGGGGUCAGGAGAAAGCAGAUUUCUCUUCUGAGCAGCCUUCUCCUGGGGUAGCCUUGAUUCUGAGGCUGGCUAUUCCUAGGUUUACGGGAGCCUGCAGCAGCUCCUGCAGCCUUGUUCCUGCAGAAUCCCAGCCCUAAAACUUCUUGCCCUGAGUUCUGUCUGGAGAUGCCUCCCCAAGACACCCAUGACUCAUACAGAGCUUGGAAAGCUGCCGCCACGUGCCUCACCUUCUUUCUGAUACACCCCAGAUGGUGUGCCUUCCACCUGGCCAUUGCUUCCAUCAGCAGCUGCCAGCGGUGAUGCUGACCCGCCUGUCCCAGCUGGAAUCUCUGCUGGGCCACCCUCUGGCUGCAGAACCCUAGUGUUGAAACCAGUUCCGGAGACGACAUGAAGCAGAUGUAAGCCGGCCGAGAACUGUAUAGGGCUUUCAUUCAUAAGUGACUUUGUGGCAUGGGAAGGCGUAGACAGUGGAGAGGUUAUGUGAUGUGACAAUCAGCCUUUUGUGAGAAAAAGCGACACAGGAUCCAUGGCCACUGUGGAAGGCCAGGCAGGCCUGGUCAUCUCUACAAUCUGGAACCUGGAACUAGAAUUUCUUUUUGCUGCUGCAUCUCCCAAGUGCUGUCCCCAUAGCUAUCCACAGUCAUUGCAGGUAUCCCAGGACCCACAGAGCAACACCAACAGGUACUAGGCAUGCAGAAGGAGACUCUUGGUCUCAGAAGGGAGCUUCCUGCUGGAGCUCAGCCUUGGAGGCAGGAAAUAAAGCUCAGAGAGUGAAGUCCGGUGAGCCUGAGGUAUGACCAGGAAAGUAGUAACGUGAUCUCUUGGGACCUCACUGUGUAGGCCGCGUCCUGGAGCCUGGAAAUGCCUAAUACAGGAGCCACCUCUGGAGCCAUUCACAGGCUCCAGAGAAGGCAGCAGUCACGAGCCUUAUCUUGGAUGGUGUCCACCAGCCAUUUCACAUCUUGGGUGCAGCCUUAAGUGUCCCUAUCUCCCUAGCUACCACUAUGGAUGGCAUCAUUGCUAAGGAACAACAGGAAGGUACAAGGUAGAGGGGAACAAAAUGUAGAGUUACGGAACCUAGACCCAACAGAUAUAUCUACAAAACACUCCCACACCUGAGGCUCAGGAACAUUUUGGAAGAGAAGAAAAGAUUCUAAGAACCGGAAGAUCAGGGAGUUUGCUGUGUGAAUGUGUCUCCUAGUAAUGUCAGAAGCCAUCAAUGUGCCUGCCCAAAUAGGAACCAAACAGGGACAACACUGAUGGACAGUCACAGUGGAUGGGGAAAGGCCCAUGAGGCCUCUACUCUAUACAAAGAACUACUUGGAAACUAAGACAUGCUGAGAGUGGGAGAAAAAGUCUUUCCCAGGAAAGAGCUCACCAGAUGGUUAUUCAGUGCUAAGUGGUCUGCCCUGAAGACAUGUAAGUAACACUAUACUGACUGAGCAGGGUACAUAGUAACAACUAAAACAGGUCAGGAUUUGAAAGAGCAGAAGUGGUUUGUGGGGGGAAGAGGGGAGGGAGAAAUGAUAUAGUCUUACAAAAAAAAGAAUGGGAGAAAGAAAGAAAGGAAGGCUGCUCCCUAUGUGGUCUAGGCUGCCCUCAAGCUCCUUGCUUCAGCACGCCUCCUUCCUGCCUUCCAAAUGGUGGGACUACAAGCCUGUACUUUGUAAAAGUCUAUGCCUGUGUCUAAGGAUAUUUUCCCCUGAGCUCUAAAAAGGUGUGGCAGAAACCUUGAGGUCUAAUAUCAGACAAGACAAUGAGUACAGGCCUUUAACCCCAGCACUCAGGAGGGAGAGGCAAAAGCAUUUCUGUGAGUUGGAAGCCAGCCUGGUCUACAUAGUGAGUUCCAGGACAGCCGGGGCUAUAGAGAAACCCCUAUCUCAAAAACAAAACAAAACAAAACAGGCACCAAACCACAAUGCUACUGCAUCCUUCCCACGGAUGGUAUUUUGUGUUUACCCACUAAAUUCCUUGUUCCAAAGGACCUGCCCUGUGCCACUACUCCCUUUAAGAAAAGUUCAUGAGCUGGAGAGAUGGCUCAGCAGUUAAGAGCACUGACUGCUCUUCCAGAGGUCCUGAGUUCAAAUUUCAGAAACCACAUGAUGGCUAUAAUGAGAUCUGAUGCCCUCUUUUUUUUUUUUUUUUUUAACUGUGCCUGAAGAGACAGUAUACUUACAUAUAAUAAAUAAAUAAAUCUUUAAAAAAAAAAAAGUCCUUCAGAGAUAGCUCUGUUGGUGCUUCAACUGCUCAGUCCUUUGCUCAUAGCAAACCAGCAUCAGCAUUUCAAGCUUCGCAGAUUAGGAACGAACAGUUCUCCAGGAACUUCCUGGGCUUCCAGCGCCACGAAGGGACUACUGAGGCACCCCACUCUGUAGACUGCAUAACCUCCUGUCAUCCCUGCUUCCUGACCCAGUAGGACUGACUGGCCAUUGAGGUCCAGCCUCAAGGAAAGUACCGGACCCUGAGCAUCUCAUGUAUGAUGUGGAUAAUAUUCUAAAGCUCACUUAAUAAAUGUAUAUAUUAUGUAAAUUACAGCAUAUAAUACCAA